RNAcentral lists this unclassified non-coding RNA (433 nucleotides) under soil metagenome. RNAcentral describes it as "partial contains 5.8S ribosomal RNA, internal transcribed spacer 2, and large subunit ribosomal RNA". The stretch from base 1 to 120 matches the Rfam family "5.8S ribosomal RNA", at positions 35 to 154 of the family's 154-position model. The record is from RNAcentral.
GAUGAAGAACGUAGCGAAAUGCGAUACGUAAUGUGAAUUGCAGAAUUCAGUGAAUCAUCGAAUCUUUGAACGCAUAUUGCGCUCUCUGGUAUUCCGGAGAGCAUGCUUGUUUGAGUAUCAGUAAACACCUCAACUUCCAUAUCUUUUUUGAAAUGGGAGUUGGACUUGAGUGAUCCCAACGCUUUUCCUCACCGAAAAGUGGCGGGUUACUUGAAAUGCAGGUGCAGCUGGACUUUUCUCUGAGCUAUAAGCAUAUCUAUUUAGUCUGCCUAAAAAACAGAUUAUUACCUUUGCUGCAGCUAACAUAAAGGAGAUUAGUUCUUGUGCUGACUGAUGCAGGAUUCACAAAGACAGGCUUCGGCCGACUUUGUAAACUCGAUCUCAGAUCAAGUAAGACUACCCGCUGAACUUAAGCAUAUCAAUAAGCGGAGGA